Molecule: ribosomal RNA, 253 nt
Filed under: uncultured bacterium
Lineage: Bacteria
Description: partial 16S ribosomal RNA
Rfam family: Bacterial small subunit ribosomal RNA
Source: RNAcentral
UACGGAGGGGGCAAGCGUUGUUCGGAAUUACUGGGCGUAAAGCGCGCGCAGGCGGCUAUCCAAGUCAGUGGUGAAAGCCCGGAGCUCAACUCCGGAACUGCCAUUGAAACUGUUUAGCUUGAGGAUGAGAGAGGUGAGUGGAAUUCCCAGUGUAGAGGUGAAAUUCGUAGAUAUUGGGAAGAACACCGGUGGCGAAGGCGGCUCACUGGCUCAUUACUGACGCUCAGGCGCGAUAGCGUGGGGAUCAAACAGG